Molecule: non-coding RNA, 6674 nt
Organism: Musa acuminata subsp. malaccensis (wild Malaysian banana)
Lineage: Eukaryota; Viridiplantae; Streptophyta; Magnoliopsida; Zingiberales; Musaceae
Source: RefSeq, a predicted model, not a curated record
AAUACCCUAAUAAUUGGAAGGUAUUUCCGUCCCUUUCUUAGUCGCCUCAAAUGGAUCCUGCCGCCCUUUGCCGCGGCACCGGCCCGGCGCCGCUCGUCAUCGACCUGAACGAGGUCAUCCCUCCCGCCGACUCCUCGCCCACAAGAUAUCCACUCCCGGUAAUCGAUAAGAUUCAAACGAUCUGAAGUUGGCCCGCACCUGUGCGGUUCCGGAGUCAUCAUCGACGCCAUUAGUUGAUGAGAUUUCUAAGACUACGAUCGACGAUGCAUCUUGCACGUGAUUUUCCAGUGUUAAGUGGUGUGGUUGUCUUUUUUAUUCUUCUUCUUCUUCUUAUUGCAUCUGGUUCUCCAUAAUGAUCACAUGAAACUCAGCAGCUCCUGGUUGUUCAUGCUUAAAAUCCUUGCUUUUGUAAGAUUAACAUAGCUGUGACCAAUUGCUCUAAAAUCACAUGCAAAAUUUUGGUUAAUACUGUUAUCUUUUGUGACUAUGAUGGGAUAACUAGCCUACGAACUUUAUUAAGCCUAUGAACUUUGGGCCUAUGAAUCUUCCAUUAAACUCAGCUGCUCCUGGUUGUUCAUGCUUAAAAUCCUUGCUUUUGGAAGAUUAACAUAGCUGUGACCAAUUGCUCUAAAAUCACAUGCAAAAUUUGCGUUAAUAUUGUUAUCUUUUGUGACUAUGAUUGGAUAACUAGCCUCCGAACUUUUGGGCCUGAAUCACUGGCCCAAAAGCUUAUAAGCUGAUUAUAGUACACCCAUCAAACUUUCCUCUUCUCAUACUUUGAUGCGGGACUAAACUUGGGGAUGUUACACAAAUGUAUGAGUCUAUUCUCUAUCUGAAAGCUUCCGUAUGUCUCUGUGUGAUCGAAAAUCUUCUCAGGAAAAAUAAGAUCUGUUUUAUUAUCAAUAUAUCUGAUACCACUUGUGCAUGAGGUUGUGAAACAGCAUAUAGGUUGCCUGAUAACUUUAAGUUUUAGGAAACUCUCUUCCUUUUUUUUCUGAUAAAUUAUUGAGUUUUGUGGAUUUUAUCAAAUUUCUAAUGUUCUAUUAGUGGUUUUGCAUCUUUAGAUAUGCUUGUAUGUCUACCUGACCAAUGUGUAGCUUACAGCUGCAAAGGCAUGAUUAUAUGUCACAGUAGUUACCAGAGACUCUUAAAUCUUGCUAGGAUUCUGUGGUUGGAGGUUGAUAUCAUGUUGUUGCUUUGAGAGGUCUUCUUAUUGGUCUCCUGGAUUUGGUUCAGAUUUCAAGUCCUGUAUAUGAUAAGUCACUUUCGUUGACCAUAAUGGUCCAAGUCUCUUAAUGCCUGUGAUAAACUUAACUCGGACAUUUUAGCUUUUCUGCAAUCAUAUUUCUUUUUUCUGGUCUUCCAGAUGGUUCAAGCAAUAACCCUGUUUGAGAGCAUGAUCAAAACUGAGUACCUGGAAAUGGGUGGUGGUACUGGUAGCUUUCAUAUUGCUGCAACAAAGGCAUCUGCGGUUUCUUCCCUUACUCUCUGCAUUUAUACUCUUGAUGAUUCUAUCAUCUACGGGAAGGGCCAGGUUCCUGAUUCAGAUCCCAUAGAGAAUCUGAAGUUGACAACCAAGUUAAGAAGAGAAAAUAUAUUUGAAGUAUAAUUGUAGAGAUAUUAUGCAUUAUGUUAAUGUGAGUUUUGGAUUGAUAGACGUGGCAGCUUGAUAAUUUGUUAUGGCUGUCAUCAAUAGUCAUUAUCUCAGAAGAUAUAAGCUGGAGAACUAAUGCAUUGCUAUUGCUGCACAGGCAUCGUGGAUAUACGUUUGAAUGUAAAACUGACAUCACUGACAUGAUCUUUGCCUCGUUCAGAACUGGAGAUCUAUUUAUGAUUUCUAUAUUUCAGGCAGACUCAGAGAAGGAUAAACUCUGAGGUGGUGCACUAGCUUCAAUUUGUAGCUCAGUGCAUGCAUUUUUCUGAGGAGGUUGACUCAGAGUGAUUUAUACAACAUACAAAUGCAUCCAAUAUAAUGUCUGAUGCUGCAUCUGAUUGAAGUUAAUUACGAUACUGACCAAUUGUUUCUAGACAUUUCUCUCUCUCACUAGUGCAUGCACACACAGCUGUCAGACAUAUCUUUCAUCCUUUCCAGCAUUUGUGAUGAUAUGGCUAUAGUUUAUGUUUAUGGAUAAGGUUGCAGUUCCUCUGUGUACAAAAACGGGCAAUUAGUUUCAUCUUUUAUUUUGUACCUUGCAUCAUAGGACAUGAGUAGCAGCUACUACUGCUGUUUUUGUUUUAGGUUUUUAUCAAAUAGUUAUGUUGAUAUAGCUUUUUUCUGUUGAGUGCCUAUUCUUUUCUACAUGGAUGUGCAGAUGUUGUCUUGGACUUUAGCAAAGAAAGUUUGGUUUUUCUACACAGUUGCUCCACUUAAAGUAGGCUGAUCAAGGAUACUUCCAAGCAUGUCAUAAGUUUUGCUACAGAAUAGUCUGCAACAAAUCUUAUUGUAAGGUGAUGAAACCAUUGCAAGCAACAUGCAACGCUGGUCCAAAAGGAGUGCUACUUGUUGAUGGAAGACUACUCUCUCUCUCUCUCUCCACUCUGGCGUUUCUGUAACAUGCAACGCUGGUCCAAAAGGAGUGCUGCUUGUUGAUGGGAGUCUUUUUUUUUUUCUCUCUCUAUCCACUGGAUCAGAAUCAUUUGAUCAACCCUCUCUAUAUCAUAUAAUUAAUUAAUUGCCGUCCGUCGGUCUUUGAGAUCUGUGCAGCCGAGGAAGAGGAUAGAGGGGUUCGAUGCCUACGGUGCACACGUGUCGAGCUGUCUUGGCCUGCACACGCCGCACGUCGAUACAAAACAGCUACUUGUAUCGGUUCGAUGGAUCCUCCUAUCCCUUUCGCUGCUGCAUCAUCUCGUGCCUUGUUGGCGCAAAACGAGACGUCUUCACAUGGCGCCAGUUGUCACGGGCGGCCUCUCCCUCUCCUCUCGCUCUCUCUCUCUCUCUCUCUGGGGCUCUCACCCCUGCAAUCUAGGGUUACUUGAUCUGUUCGGGUUUUUACCCUCCAUUGUAUUUUGAUUCCUUCCCUAACAAUUCCUGCCCCCAUUUCACAUCAACGUGCUCAUCAUGUCGCUGCUCCUUCCUGCCUCCAUCACGUAUCGCUUUCCUUGGCCCAAAAAGGUUGUAGGUUCCUUGUGUCAACGCUUUUCUCAUACGGGAAGAGUGGGAUGUAGUAUAGUUCUCUGAUAUCGUUUGUUUUUGUUGCUAUCCGUCUCUCUUGUCUGUAAAAGAACGAAAGCAAGAAAGAAAGGUGAUGUCUGGACGCAGCGGUUUAUCGAUCUUUUCCUGGCCUUGUUGGAUUUGGUUCUGAUCUGGUUGGGAGUUCGAGGGUGCAAAGCUGGAAUCGGUCGAUAAACCUCUGCAUCCGGUGUUUGUAACCUUUCACGCUCUUACUCGUUUCUAUAUAAAAAAUCCCCGGUUUUGUUUUCAGACUUCCUCAAUAACUUUUUAAGUAGGUGAGUCGUGACUUGAGAGAUCGGUGUAACGCGAGCUGUAGGCUUUAUUCUUGGAAAAUGUUUGUAUAAUGCUUCACUGCUUUUGGCUAAGGAAGCCUCUUUUUCUUCAGAAGUCUUUCAGUCUCUUAAAUAUGUAAGGCUAGUUUUGUUAGUGCUGUUUAUGUGAUGUGCAUUUUAGAUGGUGCUACUAUAUUUCUUCCAAAUGUUUUAGUUCUAUUUUAUGUUUUUGUUGCUGAGAUUUGUUGCCAAAAUAUGUUAUUUAUUGAAAUUUUCUUUUGGCACUCGGAGCUGCUUUUCUUUGUCAGAAUCAGGGAUCAGGGUUUGGCAUAUGCUUUGAGAUGUUUGAAGCGGAGGCUUUGAUGGAGAAACUAAAGUAGAAUCUGACUAAGUAUAUGUGACUGAAAGGAAUGGUUCCUUACAGACGUGAUUGAAAUAUGUUUCUUGUUUUGGGGGUUUAAGACUGACUACAUGAUUUUUCUUGUUCCCAUAACACCAAAACUAGUAUGUAAAUGCUUGAUCUAUAAAUUUUAGCUAAUAGAGGAUUCUCUGCAGUUUUCAUUAUCAAAAGUAGAGCACUUCAGAUAUCAAAUGUAAUAUCCGGUGUAUAUUUUUGGUAAGCGCAACAAAAACAUGAUCAGUAAAUUUCAGUUAUAGAUCAUUUAGUCCCCUGAUGCUGGGAACUAAAUGAGAAUGCAUGAUCUAUAAAUUUCAGUUAAUAAGGAUCCACUGUAGUCAUUUAUGUUUGCACUUUGUAAGUUUGAACUUAAGAUACUCAGAUAUUCCUGGUGAUAUUUUAUCGAACAAUCUUUAUUGAAGCAACGAGUCACCUAUAUUUUACACCCCCGCAAUAUUCUUUGAUAUAUAUUUCAUGUAUGUAGUUCUUGGCCAUGUAUUAUCGUGAAUAGUUUCAAACAUGUAUCCUUCAGCACAUUCUGCAUAAAUCAAUGGAAUUCUGUUUUUGUUUCUUGGCUGAAGUACAAUAAGUGCAUCGUUAUAAAUUACCGAAGUUCAACAUAAAAAUGUUGAUAUUGUAAGUAGACUAACAUUUAGGAAUACUUUGUGAAUUUUUGUUCUCUAACUAAUGUAAAUGUAACUGAAACGAUGCAUGUCUAGGUCAUAUUGCAGAAUAUAUUUUAUGACAUCCACAAAUUUCAUAAUAACUAGUUAAUGUAGUUUAGCAUGAAAGUUUUUUUCGUUUUUAUGUUUAGCAUGAAAGUUACUUCUAGGAUUUUCUAAGUUUUUUUCCCUUCUGGUUUAGAAGAGUGAGAAGUAUUUGUAGGCUUGCAUACCAUCAGAUUAUUUAGUUCUCGCAGAUUACUAAACACCAUGAUUGUCCACUAUUGUAACUGUUUCUUGUGUUUUUUGCUUUCUUUCCGUAUAAUCUACGGUGCUCGUCUGCUGGGCAUUUUAUUUCAGCUCAUCUGAAGCUUCAGAUCACCAUCUGCCAUGUCUGCCUGUGCUUUUGAUAUUUCCUUUUGGUGGUUUCACACAUCCUAAUUUGGCUAUAUGCCUUAUCUUGUUCAUGCUCUUCCCUCAGCUUAUCUGGAUAUUAAAGAAGUUGCUUUUAUACCAUUAAAGUCUGUUGUGGAAUGCUUCACUUGAUCUCUAUAAAAUGGUUCUUUUUUUAGGAGAAGUUUAUUAAUGCGCAAAAUCUGCUUUUGAGCUUAGUCACAGUGUAAGGUGCAGAUGAUGAUUUUAUUUCUCUGACUGGCCUAAUUAGUACACUGCUGUUGCAAUGUUUUGUUUGACUUCGUCCUUUAUGUUCUAUAAUCUGCACUCUAGUCUUGAUUUUUGGGCAUUUUCAUGGUUUUAAGCGUGUGGUUUCCAUGGGUGCAUGACGAAAUAUUCUUCCUCUGAACUUCAGGUUUUGAGCAUAAUUUGUUUCGGAACACUUGCUCUGGUUUUCUCGUCAUAUAUGCUCUUUUUCUUUUCAGUUUAUCUGUAUUCACUUUUUUCGUGUUGAGCUAUUGGAACCUAUCUAUUGCAAAACUACUAAAUUUUUAUUGGCUUAUGGUUUUGGCAUUACGACAUGCAAAACGUUUGCUUAUGUUUGUUUGAUCUCGGAAAAGAUCAAUGUGUAACGAGGAUACCAUGAGACAAUACAGUAAUACUUGCUAAAAUAUGCUCCUCGCAUUGGAAAUAUAGUAAUAAUUAGGUUGGAAAAAGGCAUCCUAGAACCUGAAUACUCAAAUUUGUAAGAGAGUUUUGGGUGAUUCUUUUGGUGUUCUAACGCUUGUUAUGUUCUGCCUCACAAGAUUCUUUACGAAAAUAUUCUUGAUCUUCUAUGUUCAUAUUUUAUCACCUUUCUGAAGCAAUUCAUGGUUUCAACCUAUCGUAUAAGAAUUUUUCCCUCACUGGGUGGAUAGCCUUAUUUAAUUUAAACGAUCGGCUUAUCGUUCUUCUGCGGCUAUGGACCUCUUUAUUUGUUUCAUGUAUUAUAAUGUCAUGUCCAUCACUAUCUAUUUCAUCAGGAAUUUUCAGCUUUAAUCUCGCCACAGAAUUUUGAGACACUUUCCAGUUUUGCUGUAUUGGUUGUUGUCACAUGAGAUGCAACGAAUGGCUGCAUCCGAGCUUCCUGGUGCUAUUUUUCUGAUUUCAUCCUUGGAUGCUCUUUGAGCAUGUCAGAAAACCUUGGCCGUGGACUUCUUUCAGUGAGGCAGGUUUUUCAUGUGCUUCAGCUUCAUUGUCAGAUGUGCUGACAUUUCUGAAACCACAAGGACUUUUUAUGUGAAAUUACAGCUGUUUUGUUUGGAAAGGGUUCCCUGCCACAGUGAUUAUUCGAUAAACAGCAGUCGCUCGUCUCUCGCUCAUUCACCAACUACUGAUCAUUAUGAAUCGGUCUCCUUUUCCUGUACAUUAUUUGUUUGCUUCUUCCCAUUUCAGUGAACCUACAAGUCCUGAGUAUAGUAAUUGCAGCACUGUUGUAUGAUUGUUCUGUUCUGGUGCAGUACACGAUCCAUUGGGGAAUUCACGUGCCCGAUGGAAAGAAACAUAAAGAUAUUUCAUAUUUUCUCUUUUGUGCAAACAGUGGACCGGCAUGCUUAACUCAUUCAUGGGAAGAGAAGAGGAUCCCAGACAUCGGCAAAGCACAAACAGUUUCUUGGCAGGGAAGAUCUAAUCAUUCGAUCAAGGCCAUAUAUGGUCAACUGUAACCAUGAUUCUUGAUGACAUGGCAAACUUGUUGCAUCGUAACACUCUUUAUGUUCAUGAUUGCGAUAAGUUAUCAA